AGAGUUUGAUUCUGGCUCAGGACGAACGCUGGCGGCGUGCUUAACACAUGCAAGUCGAACGGAAAGGCCCUUCGGGGUACUCGAGUGGCGAACGGGUGAGUAACACGUGGGUGAUCUGCCCUGCACUUUGGGAUAAGCCUGGGAAACUGGGUCUAAUACCGAAUAUGACCAUGCGCCUCCUGGUGUGUGGUGGAAAGCUUUUGCGGUGUGGGAUGGGCCCGCGGCCUAUCAGCUUGUUGGUGGGGUAAUGGCCUACCAAGGCGACGACGGGUAGCCGGCCUGAGAGGGUGACCGGCCACACUGGGACUGAGAUACGGCCCAGACUCCUACGGGAGGCAGCAGUGGGGAAUAUUGCACAAUGGGCGCAAGCCUGAUGCAGCGACGCCGCGUGAGGGAUGACGGCCUUCGGGUUGUAAACCUCUUUCAGCACAGACGAAGCGCAAGUGACGGUAUGUGCAGAAGAAGGACCGGCCAACUACGUGCCAGCAGCCGCGGUAAUACGUAGGGUCCGAGCGUUGUCCGGAAUUACUGGGCGUAAAGAGCUCGUAGGUGGUUUGUCGCGUUGUUCGUGAAAACUCACAGCUUAACUGUGGGCGUGCGGGCGAUACGGGCAGACUUGAGUACUGCAGGGGAGACUGGAAUUCCUGGUGUAGCGGUGGAAUGCGCAGAUAUCAGGAGGAACACCGGUGGCGAAGGCGGGUCUCUGGGCAGUAACUGACGCUGAGGAGCGAAAGCGUGGGGAGCGAACAGGAUUAGAUACCCUGGUAGUC
This 770-nucleotide ribosomal RNA is filed under the name uncultured Mycobacteriales bacterium. RNAcentral describes it as "bacterial SSU rRNA". It matches the Rfam family "Bacterial small subunit ribosomal RNA", at positions 8 to 795 of the family's 1533-position model. The record is from RNAcentral. Lineage: Bacteria; Bacillati; Actinomycetota; Actinomycetes; Mycobacteriales.